This 796-nucleotide ribosomal RNA is filed under the name Spiniferites ramosus. Its description in RNAcentral is "partial large subunit ribosomal RNA". It matches the Rfam family "Eukaryotic large subunit ribosomal RNA", at positions 70 to 824 of the family's 3401-position model. The record is from RNAcentral. Lineage: Eukaryota; Dinophyceae; Gonyaulacales; Gonyaulacaceae.
AAGGAUUCCUUUAGUAAUGGCGAAUGAACAAGGAAUAGCUCAUGUUGACAACCUGAACCUCUGGUUUAGAUUUGCAUAAUAUAGAUGCAUUGCCAAUGAAAGUGUGCAUGCAAGCCUUUUGGAAGAAAGCAGCAAUGAAGGUGAAACUCCUGCGUGUCAUGUGCAAUCUUUCAUACAAGGUGUGCUUCCAAGAGUCGCGUUCCUUGGAAGUGGAGCGCAAAUUGGGUGGUAAACUUCAUCCAAAGCUAAAUAUUGGUUUGAGACCGAUAGUGUACAAGUACCAUGAGGGAAAUGUGAAAAGGACUUUGAAAAGAAAGUUAGAAGUACCUGAAGUUGCUGAAAUGAAAGCAAAUGAAAUUGAUUGAUUGUAGCAAGAUUGCAGUGUGCAAAUGUCAGCCAGUCGGUGCACAUGAUUUGGCAUCCUUGGUUGUUUUAUGCGCAUCGUGUGUCUUGCUUUACAUGUCACAACUAAGCCGUGAUGUCAAUAUGUUGAGCAUGAGGGAACGUUCAUUGUUUGGCGUGAUCAUGCCCAAGACUGACAUUUGACUUGGUGCCUUUUGCUAGGCUGUGCGCCCUUUGCAAAGCGAAUGCGUUGCGGCGCGUUUGGCAUUGCGUGACUUUGAUAUUUCAUUUGACCCGUCUUGAAACACGGACCAAGGAGUCUAAUGCAUGUGCGAGUUUGUGGGUUUAUCAUUUGGGGCGAAAUGAAAAUGACAGUCGGGAUGUAUGCACCGACAGCCAACUAAUCAUUUGUGAGAGGUUUGAGUUUGAGCAUAUUUAUUAGGACCCGAAAGAU